GAUGUAGUAUUGAUAUAGACGCUUCUUAUAGCCCUGAAACAUUGGGGUCAUCUUCUUCAUAGACCAAUCUCGAACUCUUUCCUUCAACUGUUCAUCGUUUGUCUCCAGUGUGAAAUGUUGCAAGACGUCACUCCAGAGUAGCUCCUUGUCACGUCUAGAGACAUAACUGAUUUCUAGGUGUUUCUUGUUCUCCUUCCAUUCACAGACACUGAUCGGGAUCCUAUCCCGGACAAGGUACCCUAAGUGGUAGACGAAGGCCCUUGAAUGGGGUCCAAGUGGCUUGCCUGUUGCUUCCUCGAAUUCUGAGAUUACUAACCGGCCCUCCAUAGGCUUCUUCGGGCCUCGUACUCUCCGGCUGGUCCCCGUGGUUGUCGUCGAGCCAGAGGGCUAUGUAGAAAGAAACAAGACAAUUUAAUACAUGAUAUUAUUUCGAAUUAUAUCUAUAAAAACAAAGGAGACUACCAUAUUACAGACCUGCUGGCCAGCAUUGUCUUGCUCAUUCGGGUCGACCAAAUACUGAGAGCAGUCAUCGAUGCCCUCAGGGUUCUCAUCGCCUUCGCGGUCGUCGUGAUAAACUUCUUCAUUGGGACCGCAAAUCAGGUUCAUCAUUUCCUCUUCGUGUUCUCUCGGGUCGGCCAUUUCUGCAGAAAUAUGUGACACAUGACUACAAUAUAUAAAACUAGGGUUUAGGGUUUAGGGGUUAGGGGUUAGGGUUUAGGGUUUAGGGCUUAGGGCUUAGGGCUUAGGUUUAGGGUUUAGAGUAUAUCAUUUGCUAACAAUUAAAUAUAUCAUAAUUGUAACACUAAUUUAUACCACUAAUUGUACCACUAAUUAUAGCACUAAUUGUACCACUAAUAGAUCCAUCUCUAGACAUACCUGUAGUUUGAAGGCGGUGAGACGGCGGAGAGACGGCGGUCGGUGCGGAGACUCGACGGGGACUUCGGUGACGACGGCAGAGAGACGUCGAUGUAGAAGAAGGAAGAAAGACGGAACGAAUAUUAUAUCACAUUUACAUAUUGUGGCACAUGCAUGAAGCACUAAAUAUAGAAGAAAACAAAAACUAAUUUGCUACAAACAAACGAAAAUACUACAGUACCCUAAUUAUGUACUAUUAAUAUUAAUAUUUUUUACUAUAUAUUUAGUUAAAGUUAUUUCUUUAUUUCGUCAGAUUUUUCGCAUGAAGCACUAAUUUGCUACAAACAAACAGAGUAUAUUAAUUUUUUAUUCUAUCAUUUUGUAUACUGAAAAUAUCAUAUAAAACAUCACAUAUGUAGUAAGUGAACAUUACUAAAUACACCAUAGAACAUCACUAAAUAAAUUACAGAACAUCACAUCGCAUAUAUAUUGUGUGAACAUCACUAAAUACAUCAUAGAACACUAUAUGUAUACUAUGUGAACAUCGCUAAAAUAUGUUAUAGAACAUCACAUAUAUAUUACGUGAAAAAACUAAAACACCAUAGAACAUCACUAAUUACAUUAAAGAACAUCGUAUAUAUAUUACGUGAAAAUAAAUAAGAAAUUGGUACUAUAAUAUACAUGAAUUGGUACUAUAAUAUACAUGAAAAUAAAUAAAUAAAUAAAUAAAUAAAAAAUAAAUAUAUAUAUAUAUGAAUUUGAGCAGAGGCAAUAUUCUAGAUUCAUAAGAAAUUGGUACUAUAAUAUACAUGAAAAUAAAUAAAUAUAUAAUGUAAUACAAAUAAUAACUAGAGCAAAGCAUAAGAAAAAAAAUAAAAACAUGUAACAAAGAAAAAAAUUUAAAGAACAUCGUAUAUAUAUUACGUGAACAUCACUAAAUACACUAUAGAACAUCACUAAUUGAUUUAAAGAAUAUCGCAUAUAUAUUAUGUGACACAUCACUAAAUAUAUUUAGUUAAAGUUAUUUCUUUGUUUUUUUAUAUUUUUUUUUCAUUUUUUACUUCAAUAUUUAGUGUGUUAGAACUAGGUUUUAUUUUUUUACUGUAUAUUUAGUUAAAGUUAUUUCUUUGUUUUUUCAUUUUUUUUCAUUUUCAUUUCUUAGCCCACGGGGGCUCGGGCGCAAGGGGGGCUCGGGCUGCGCCGCCGGUGGGGGCGCGCGUGCCCGCGUGCCCGACGGUGUACGGCGUGGGGCCCGCACAACUGCCCCCCGCCCACAGCGUUGUCGGGCGCGGAGGGCGCACGGCGUACGGCGACGGCGGGCGCGCGCGAGAACGAGAGAAAGAGAGGAGAGAGGGAUAGAGGCGGCGGGCGCAUGGCGUACGGCGGGGCGUCCUCGGGGCGGCGCUCGGAGUAAGGACGACGGAGCGGCGGCGGAGAAGACGACGGGUCGCGCGCGGCGGUUAGGGCACGGCAGGAGAAAGACGACGGAUCGACGCGGGCACAGUGUGCAGGAGGAAGAAGGGCUCUGCCCUUUAUAGGGCAAGACACCUUUAGUUCUCGAUGGAACCGAGGUUAAAGGACCUUUAGUCCGGGGCGCUAGCUCGGCCCGGGACUAAAGAGUUCUCACUAAAUUAUGGCGCCAGUUUAGGCGCCAUAAUUUGGUUUUUCCUUUUUUUUUUCUCUUUACAUUGUUAAAUGCAUUAUAAAUUAAAUAAAUCUGAUAAAAUUGUUUAAAAAAUACACAUUAAUUUUAUUCUGCUCUACUCUUCAGUAUAAAAAUUAUUAACACAAUUGUUUUUCAAAUAUUUCAUAUUAUUCAAAACAAAUGUUAUUCAUAAUGAAUAUUGUGUUAAUGUAAAAAUAUAAUGGCCAAUUAAAUUUUAAAAAAUUGUUGGCUUUUGACAGAUACUUGGUUUUUGGGUCAUUUGGACGUUAAACUUUUGUUUCUUUAAUAAUAAUUAUACAAAUGCGCGACAUUGAUUGUAUAAAUUUUUCAAAAGUUGUAAGAUGGAUUUUGGAACCCUGGAUGGCCUCAAAUAGAAAACUCAUGAAUACAAAGUUUGUUCCACUCAUCAAGACCUACAUUUUCUCUAAUGGACACAUUUUCAUUUGAAAAAGUUUAGACCACUCAAUUUUGAAAUUUAAAAGAAUUCAUAGCGAAACGCUAAUUUUCAGAACCAUGGAUAGCCUCAGAUGGAAAACUCAUGAAUACCAAUAUUGCUUCACUCAUCAAGAUCUACAUUUCAUAUAUAGACCAUUUUUGUAUUUGACAAAGUGCUGACAAAGUGU
Molecule: long non-coding RNA, 3144 nt
Filed under: Sorghum bicolor (sorghum)
Lineage: Eukaryota; Viridiplantae; Streptophyta; Magnoliopsida; Poales; Poaceae
Description: long non-coding RNA (SBIC_LNC015065)
Source: RNAcentral